This is a long non-coding RNA of Patiria miniata (bat star), 666 nucleotides long. RefSeq lists it as uncharacterized. The record is from RefSeq and is a predicted model, not a curated record. The transcript has 2 exons. Lineage: Eukaryota; Metazoa; Echinodermata; Asteroidea; Valvatida; Asterinidae.
GAAAGCGUUUUCGCAUUUUCUCUUGUUCGAUUAUUGAUGCUGUGCAUCCCCAAGGAGAGCUUAGUGGUCCACUGUUUGAUCCAGGUUCUCUGGCCUUUGGUUACUGACCCUUCUGUUCAGAUCCCCAUCAUCGAGGACGAUGAUGACUAGGCGUGGAAGAGUUGUAAUGGUUGUGUUGAUUAUAUUUCUUGUUCUUCUAUAAAGACCCCUUUCUCUGGUUGUUUAUUCACUACAAACCUUGCAUUUACUUUGUUAUUAAUUCAUGUGACUUGAGGGAAGUCUACUCAGUGUGACUCGAGACAAGGCUAUACAAAGUAUUGAUUUUUCUAGUGGAGCCAAAAAUAGUAUUGAUUUAUGGAGCUGUGAUUUUGAACUUGUAUUUUGUGAAUAUUUCUUAGUCAAGGAAAAUGAACAUUAUGUUUAGAUUUUAAAGAAGAAUUAUGCUUAUCUUGAUUAGAAAUGUGUAUUAUCAAAUUAUUUGUCAUCAUAGGUUUGGCUUUAGAUCACUUUUGUGGAUUGUUCACUUGACGUGAACUGCACGUUGUUAAUUCACAGCUCCCAAACCAUGCGGUCGCGGCAAGGCCUAGGCUAGGCAGUGCCUGCCCGAUCUUUACAGGUGGCCCCACCUGGGCCGAUUCAGUUUGAAUAAACAAUCAGAGCAAGGGA